This 783-nucleotide ribosomal RNA is filed under the name uncultured Neocallimastigales. RNAcentral describes it as "partial large subunit ribosomal RNA". It matches the Rfam family "Eukaryotic large subunit ribosomal RNA", at positions 22 to 644 of the family's 3401-position model. The record is from RNAcentral. Lineage: Eukaryota; Fungi; Neocallimastigomycota; Neocallimastigomycetes; Neocallimastigales.
CAUAGCGACUAUCGUGGCAUAUCAAUAAGCGGAGGAAAAGAAAACUAACUAGGAUUCCCUCAGUAACGGCGAGUGAAGCGGGAAGAGCUCAAAUUUGAAAUCUUCAAGGUUCUACCUUGACGAAUUGUAGUUUAAAGAAGUGUUUUUCUGUUGGAGUUAGGUAAAAGUUCUUUGGAAUAGGACAUCAUAGAGGGUGAGAAUCCCGUAUUUGACCUAUUCUUUCCUAACUUUGUGAUACACUUUCAACGAGUCGGAUUGUUUGGGAAUGCAGUCCAAAAUGGGUGGUAAAUUUCAUCUAAAGCUAAAUACUUGGCGAGAGACCGAUAGCGAACGAGUACCGUGAGGGAAACGAUGAAAAGAACUUUGAAAAGAGAGUUAAACAGUACGUGAAAUUGUCAAAAGGGAAGCGUUUGACACCAGUGUUGUUUUUUCCGAAAAUCAAUUACGAAUGUUUUUAUUUUUUGAGGAGUUAUGACUUCAUCGGCUUGCUUCUUUCUUUACGAAACUUUCUUAAUGCACUUUUCGGUUAACAAGUCAACAUCAAUUUCUUUUGUUGUAAAAGGGUAUGAGGAAGGUGGCUUUCUUUUCGGAGAAAGUGUUUUAUAGCCUUGUACCUCUGCAAUCGGAGAGAUUGAGGUCUGCAGCGUAGAUCCUUCGGGGUUAGAUACAUUUGUGCUAAGUUAUAGCUUUUCAUAGACAACUUGUUGACUAUGUUUAGUCUUGUAGCUUACUCGCUUAUGCUAUUUUACCUACGCUUAGGAUGUUGAUAGUCACAGCGUGUAC